RNAcentral lists this ribosomal RNA (292 nucleotides) under uncultured bacterium. RNAcentral's name for it is "partial 16S ribosomal RNA". It matches the Rfam family "Bacterial small subunit ribosomal RNA", at positions 505 to 796 of the family's 1533-position model. The record is from RNAcentral.
GUGUCAGCCGCCGCGGUAAUACGUAGGGUGCAAGCGUUGUCCGGAAUUACUGGGCGUAAAGAGUUCGUAGGCGGUUUGUCGCGUCGUUUGUGAAAACCAGCAGCUCAACUGCUGGCUUGCAGGCGAUACGGGCAGACUUGAGUACUGCAGGGGAGACUGGAAUUCCUGGUGUAGCGGUGAAAUGCGCAGAUAUCAGGAGGAACACCGGUGGCGAAGGCGGGUCUCUGGGCAGUAACUGACGCUGAGGAACGAAAGCGUGGGUAGCGAACAGGAUUAGAAACCCCCGUAGUCC